Non-coding RNA from Taeniopygia guttata (zebra finch), 670 nucleotides. Lineage: Eukaryota; Metazoa; Chordata; Aves; Passeriformes; Estrildidae. The record is from RefSeq and is a predicted model, not a curated record.
GGGAAAAGCCGGCCUGGAGCCGCCGGAGCGGGGCCGUGGCUGCGCCGUCCCGGUGUCCCCAUCUCGGAGACGCAGCCGCACGGAAAAGGGCACCUCCUGAUGGACCUCUGCUGGCUCCUGCACCAUCCUGCUCAGGCACUGCUGUUCAGUUCGGUUCGGUUCGCCUGCAGAAUCCUUCACUUUGUUGUGUGUAAUAUUUUAUCUAUAACAACUUGGCAGCUCCCGUGGAAAAUGGAAGGGACACCGAGAGCACCCAGGGCCGCUCACCAGCAGGAAAGGAGCAGAGGUCCAGCAACAGCUUUGUGGUUUGUGUGUGCCUGACACAUGGAGGGGAAUGCUCUGGGGAGCUCUUUGCACUCUACUGCUUUGUGUUUUGCUGCCCUGAUUCUUAAAAGAGUUAAGUUUUCUUUUAUAGUUCUUUUGAAAGUUUUAAAGUUCUCAUAAAACUUCUUCAGCCUUCUGAUAAUGCUUAGAGAGUCAGAAUUCCCACACAAUUUUAUGUAGAAAUAGAAUAGUUUACAUAUUCCUCUGUGGGUGGAGAGAAAUGAUUGAUGGAUCUUGGGACCAGUGUGGUUGUAAUGUGGUGGUAAUUCCAUCCUCCAAUCCACAGUCACUUUUGGAAUUCUAUAAAUACCAGAUGUUUGAAUAAAACUGGAUCUUUUUCUCUUUU